Molecule: ribosomal RNA, 595 nt
Filed under: uncultured Bacteroidota bacterium
Lineage: Bacteria; Pseudomonadati; Bacteroidota
Description: bacterial SSU rRNA
Rfam family: Bacterial small subunit ribosomal RNA
Source: RNAcentral
CCCGCACAAGCGGAGGAACAUGUGGUUUAAUUCGAUGAUACGCGAGGAACCUUACCUGGGCUUAAAUGCACUUUGACAGACUUGGAAACGAGUUUUUCUUCGGACAAAGUACAAGGUGCUGCAUGGUUGUCGUCAGCUCGUGCCGUGAGGUGUCGGGUUAAGUCCCAUAACGAGCGCAACCCUCAUCGUUAGUUACUAUCAGGUUAUGCUGAGGACUCUAGCGAGACUGCCACCGUAAGGUGAGAGGAAGGUGAGGAUGACGUCAAAUCAGCACGGCCCUUACGCCCAGGGCUACACACGUGUUACAAUGGUAUGGACAAAGGGCAGCUACACAGUGAUGUGAUGCUAAUCUCAAAACCAUAUCUCAGUUCGGAUCGGAGUCUGCAACUCGACUCCGUGAAGUUGGAUUCGCUAGUAAUCGCAUAUCAGCAACGAUGCGGUGAAUACGUUCCCGGGCCUUGUACACACCGCCCGUCAAGCCAUGGAAGCCGAGGGUACCUAAAGUCCGUAACCGUAAGGAUCGGCCUAGGGUAAAAUUGGUAACUGGGGCUAAGUCGUAACAAGGUAACCGUAAAGGGCGAAUUUCGCGGCCGCU